Lontra canadensis (Northern American river otter) is the source of this 107-nucleotide small nuclear RNA. NCBI's taxonomy places the organism in Eukaryota, Metazoa, Chordata, Mammalia, Carnivora, Mustelidae. The record is from RefSeq and is a predicted model, not a curated record.
GUGCUAGCUUUGGCAGCACAUAUACUAAAAUUGAAAUGGUAGAGAGAAGAUUAGCAUGGCCCUUGUGCAGGGAUGAUGUACAAAUUCAUGAAGUAUUCCAUAUUUUU